Non-coding RNA from Meleagris gallopavo (turkey), 4605 nucleotides. The record is from RefSeq and is a predicted model, not a curated record. NCBI's taxonomy places the organism in Eukaryota, Metazoa, Chordata, Aves, Galliformes, Phasianidae.
ACUUCCUUUUUUUCUUUAUAGUAUUGUUCCACUUCUAAAAGAAUCAAUUGGAAUUUUGAUGCAGCGAACUCCCCCAUCUCUGGAAAAUGCCCUGCCUCAAUGCUAUCAGAGGGUGCAGCAGUUGCAAGGAGUUUACAGUUUACAUGAUCCACAUUUCUGGACCCUCUGUACUGAUGUUUACAUAGGGACUUUGAAAUUAUUAGUAGCUCCUGAUGCUGAUGGAAGGUGGAUUCUAAGCCAAACUCACAAUAUUUUUACUCAGGCAGGAGUAAGACAGCUUUACGUACAAAUUGAUGUCGCAGCCAUGUAGUGAGCUUCUGAAAUCGUGCUGUUGGACCAAAGUUUUUUUGUACUGUAAUGGUAUAAAACAAGACACUUCCCAAGACAGAGCCUGCCUCUACCACUGGCCUGGAAUGGACUGAAUAGACUUAUGUCUUUGGGCUAUGGAUGAAGUUGACUUCUGAGGAGUAAAUAUGGAAUGAAUGUUAUGAACUCUGGGUCUUGUCUUUUGUGGCCCCCUAAACUUGUAAGUUUUUGAACAUUUUUUACUUACUACAUUUGUUCCACUAGGAGACUAAAAUGGUGGUACUGGAAAUUCUGUAAUGUCUUUAGUAAAGCUGCUGAAACUACUGCUCAUUCCCAUAAAACCAGUGUUAUCAAAAAUUGGAAACUUGUUUUGUACAUAAUGUCACAAUGGCUGACAUGCUUCGAUAUAAUUGUAUGUUUGUACAAUUGUUUGUACUUUGCAAACUUAAUGAACCAAACCAUAUUGGGUUUUCAAAGUGCCUUUUAUAUCAUGAGAGGUAUUUGCCAGCAUAAAAUAUGAAGCAUCAAAGUGUUUUAUUACUUCUACAAAUAUAUCUUGUAUGCAGUCUGAUUAUUUACUAGUGAUAUAUGUGGGGACUUCGUAUACUUGCGUAACUGUAGAUGUUAGACUUCCCUUAUUAUUGCAUUGUACCAAACAGGAAAAAUUCUGAAGGUAAAAGGCAAAGCCACUGUAAAGAGACAUCCAAAACAAGCUGGGUAUUUUGUUGCACAUUUCUUGUGGAAACUAUUUUAGUCAAAGAUUUAGAUUUAACUCCAAUCCUUAGUCUCUUUGUACUGUGAGAGUAAUGAGAUGUUAUGUGAUGCUACCCAUGUCCAUAGUCACCCAAAAAACAGAUAGCUGAGGGAAUUGUUUCCAUGGUUGAUGGAAUCAAUGCAUGAAGCUUUUUUUUUAUUUUCCAAACUGUAAGAAAGAGCAGACAAAAUUACACCCCUAUCUUUGUGAAAGUCUAAAUCUCUUUAACAGCUUGUAGUAAUUCUUGUUAAAGUGUUUGGUGAGGUAAUUUUUGCCGUUCCAAAUACUGAAGAUGUGUUCCUGGAGGUUAUACCUGAAAUGGAAAUGAAGGCCAUUCUUCAUGUUAUUCAAGAUUAAGCUUUUCCAGGAUGAAAAGUCAUGUUUAUUUUACAGUUUCACUGUAGCCUUUUGUAUUUUGAUUGGAAAAAACAUUCUCAGUGGAGUAAGUUGUUUGUUUUUUCCAGAUACAUUAGCUGUAUUUUGUAGUCAUUUUUCCAAUCUGAGCAUUGUUUUCAACAACAAUCUGCUAUACUUGAUAUUACAGAUAAUUCCACUAUGCUGUUGUAGAUAAAUUAGUAAGAGAAGGUUUCGUAAGAAGGCAUGAUAUUUUCACAAGUAGAACAUUGUGGAGAGGGAAACAAGACAGCCAUUUGUCUUGUAAAUCAUAGCCAGUAAUGCCAGUUAUAGAUUUUAAGUGUUCUUCAGGUACCUGAUUCAGAGUAACGUGGCAGCCAACACCUGUAGAAGCCGGCAGUGUCUCUGUAGUAAGUGGUAGGAAGGUACUGAAGGCUGCUUUGCAGAAAUGGUUUGUUUACCACUGAUGUUACUAAAUUCAUGUUAAGAGGAAGUUUCUGGUACUCGUUCUGUUGUUCCUGUUUAGGAUCUGAACUUUGAUCUCUCUUUCUGGGAAAAUACUGAUGGUUGCCAGAUUGAUAGAUCGUUGGUACCUGAAUUCUCCUAAUGAAAUACAGAAAUGUUAAUGUUGAUUUUGUGAAAAGCUUGGGGUUAUAUGAUGAUCUUGCAACUGAAAACUGGGAGUAAAGGAUAACAGCAGUAAAAAACCACAUACCUCUUAUAAACUUUAUGAUCCCUUCCAGUCCUCAGAGCCUUCUUUAUCCUUAUUGCUGCUUUCUGUUCUUACUCAUUUCUCCAGAGGGUGCAGGUGCAGAGUGCUGUAUCGGGCAGCUUGCAUCUCACCUUGCAGAUGCUCUGUCAGCUGUUUGGAGGUCCUGACUGGAGGAUGAAGUUACAUGGGCUGGGGCAGGGUGAAAGAAUCUGUUGAGCAAAUUUGAUUUUAUCAGUUGAAGAUAUAAUUUGCCUGUAUGACCACUGAAAAGGUAAUUAGAAGACAGCUGGAAGUUACAUCAUUUUGUAGAGAUGCAUGUAGACUGCGGGUUGGUGUUUGACAACUGUUUCUUGAUGUCGUAGUCAAUGUUCAAAAGCAAGCACUAGCCAGCUCCAUUACAACUGUCAUGAUCAAAGAGCUCAGUUUGAUUUAAAUCAUCUUUAUAGCAGCUCAGAGCAUCUUUGGAGUCUGAGUAUUCCUGGACUUGCUGAAGUACAUUGUAGUGCUGCUCAAGUUGUAGGGCUUGGUCACUGUUUUAGUUGUCUUAAUGAAAACUACUAUACUACUGCAACUGCAGAAGAUUCUCAAAGUGAGCAUCUACCCAAGUGGCAUUUGGUUUCUGCCUUUUUUUUUUAAAGUUACAGAUCUACAAAAUUUUUCAUUAUAGGAAAUUAAAUGCAAAAGCCUAUAAGGUGGUUAUAAUUACACAAUGUUGAUUUUAAUAGUUUUUUAUAUCUUUUUACUGCUUUGGAGGGCUUGAUUUCUAAACAGUGUACCACCUUAAUUUUUCAGGAGGACUUGAUGUUUUAUAAGAAAUACAUCCUUUGUGAAAUACAGUUUUGAGGGUAAUUAAGGGGGGUCAGACUCAAAAUAGACUUUUAAGCCUUCUUAGCCUUUCUGAUGAAGGAUGAGCAUUGCAAGGUUCUACAAAAGACAGUAGAUGGCCUGUCCCAGUAGCUAACUGCACUCACAUUUAGCUCCCCUGUGUCAGCUAGUGAUGAUAUUUGACUGUUUUGGUUCUUUACCAGCUACUGAGGGGCUACUUGCUGAGGCUUUAGGAGAGUACAAACCAUGCAGCUGAAAGUGUAGCCUUUUUUGUCUUGAAUAUCAAAACUCAGUUAUUUUGAUUUGCUGAUUAUGUAGCAAUUGACUUAUAAGAGGUUUUGCUUCUAGCACAUUAAUAGAUACAUCACCUUGUUUAAGCAGACUUGUGUGGGUACCUGAUAUCUAGCAAUGGAUGUGUCUGCAGAUCAUCUGCUAAAACUGAUUUUCAUAGCAAACAGUAUGGAAGUUUGAGCCAAGUUCUCAAAGUAUGCUUUCCUUACAUUUUCAUGUACCUGAAUUUUAAUGUAGGGUUUCUGAUCUAAGUAAUAUUUUUAUCUGUGAAAGAAAAUAGUAACUUAAAACUACCUGGACCAAAGUCCAAUCCUGCAAAUUGCAUUUUUACACGAUGUACAGCAAAAUGAUAUUUUACUUUGCUGAGAGCAUACUGUGAAAGAUUUGACUGUCUUAAAAAAGAAAAAAAACUGCUCUAGAAUGCCUGUGCUUAAAAUGCCCUCAUCAUAGUGAUAAAUGUGGCCCUUGUAGAGAGCUUGAUUUGCUCAAGAGAGAAAGUGCAAAUUGAAUAAAUGGCUCUAUUUCUACAUAAUACUGUUUACUAAAAGUCAAGCUUAAUCUCAUUAGAGCUGAGGACGCUAUUUUUACACAGAAAUUGAAAUGUGCUGCUACUAGUAGGAUAGACCUUAGUGACUUUUAACAUCAUUUUUAUUUCUUAUUUGAGUUUAAAGGUAGAGGAAGGAAAGUGUCUGUUUUCUGUUGGUCAGUGAACCUUUUUCAGGAAGGUAAACAGACAAGGUGAGAGAAGCUGCCUCAGAACUGUAGUUUUCCACCCUUGAAUAUUUAAGCUGCAAUCAAAUUGGGAACUUCAUGACUUUUUUCCCAGACUGAAUGUAGAUUUCAGUUGCUGAAACCUUGAUGCUUUCAAAUCCUAACGUAACUCAUGUGAUGAGAUAAUUUCAAUGCCAGUUCAGAACGACAGCUUUAGUUACUGAUUAGCCCUGUCCUGUUUUCCCCAGCAGCCACUGACAGCCACUUUCUAUGACUGCUGAGGACCUUCUCCCUUUGAGGUGUGUUUGUAAGACUAAGUCAUAAGGGAUUUUAAUUUUUUUUUUUAAUAAUUCAUUUCUCUGAUCCCUUACACCAAUUUAGUGGUUAGUUUAUCCUGUACACCUCUAGAAAAAUCCCUAUCUGCAACUUGCUGGAAUUCCCUUCUGGAUUUCUUUCCCCAUUCAGGCUUUUUUUGAAGUGACCAUAUAUGUUGGGACUUCAUUGGCCAGAGACUGCUAUAAUGUGAAAAGGUGCCAGUUAUUCUACUCUUGUCUCUGGUAUGUGAAGACUGCGUUUCACUACGUGUGAAUACUGGUUAAUCUGUCUGUUUCAGUGAGACACAGUAUGUUCCUGCCUAUGUGGAAAUCGGGCA